UAUCAGCGAAGGGUUAGUCGGUCCUAAGGGAAUCCCGAAUGGGGGACCCGAUGGAUAGCAGGUUAAUAUUCCUGCACACUGUUAUGUUCCUAUGGAGGGACGGAGCGUUGUACUUAUAGCAUCUUAUUGGAUUGGUGCUGGAGCAUUGAGGAAGUCACGUAGGUAAAUCCGCGUGGCAAUAUUCCGAGGUGAGCCUGAAUGUGCGGCUACGGCCAAGCAAAUAUAAGGAGCACGCUUCCAAGAAAAACUUCGUUUGGGUUAAGCAUAACAGUUCCGUACCGCAAACCGACACAGGUGGUAAGGUCGAGAAGACUAAGACGAACGAGUGAGAGGUCCUCAAGGAACUCGGCAAAAAAGCGGCCGUAACUUAGGGAUAAGGCCUGCCCUUCAGCAAUGAAGGGCCGCAGCGAAAGAUUUCCUGGCGACUGUUUAACAAAAACACAGCUCUCUGCGAACACGUAAGUGGAUGUAUAGAGGGUGACGCCUGACCUAUGCUGGAAGGUUAAAUAUGGGGGGUGAUAUGAGAUCCGUCUUGUAUUGCUGGACUAUAUAAGCCCCAGUAAAUGUCAGCGAUAACUAUAAUCGUUCUAAGGUAGCGUAUUUCCUUGUCGGGUAAGUUCCGACGUGCACGAAUGGCGUAACGACUGGGAAACUGUCUCGAGGACCUGCUCGGUGAAAAUACAAUCGCGGUAAAGAUGCCGCGUACCUGCAGAUAGACGAAAAGACCCCAGGUGCUUUACUGUAGCUUCGUAUUGGGGCUAUUGAAUUAAUGCGUAGUAUAGUGGGGAGACUUUGAAGUGGGCUUUCGGGUACCAUGGAGUCGUCAGUGAAAUACCCAUCUUUAUUUUGGUAGUCUCUAACCAGUUAGACAAAAUCUAACUGUGACAGUGCGUGGCAGGCAGUUUUAGUGGGGCGCUACCCUCCCAAAAAGUAACGGAGGGGUCUCAAGGUUGGUUAGUCGCGAAUGGAAACCGUGACGAUAGUGUAAUGGCAUAAACCAGCUUGACUGUAAGGCGUAGAUGCCGAACAGACGCGAAAGCGGAGCAUAGUGAACCGAUGGUACGCGUUAGAUGCGGCCGGAGAUUACCCGAUAAAAGUAACCCUGGGGAUAACAGGCUAGUCGUGCCCAAGCGUCCAUAGCGACGGCACGGUUCGGCACCUCGAUGUCGGCUCGACUUAUCCUGGGGCUGGAGCAGGUCCCAAGGGUUUGGCUGUUCGCCAAUUAAAAAGUCACGUGAGCUGGGUUUAGACCGUCGUGAGACAGGUUGGUCUCCUAUCUACUGCAGGCGUCGAUUCUUGAGGAGAGUUGUUCCUAGUACGAGAGGACCGGAAUGAACGAACCUCUGGUCUAUCAGCUGUCACGCCAGUGGCAUUGCUGAGUAGCUAUGUUCGGAAUGGAUAACCGCUGAAAGCAUCUAAGCGGGAAGCCAACUCCAAGAUUAGGAAUCAUUAAGUCCCCUGAGAGAUGAUCAGGUUGAUAGGCACUAAGUGGAAGUACAGCAAUGUAUGGAGCUGAGGUGUACUAAUAGGGCGUAAUUCCUGUAAGG
This 1547-nucleotide ribosomal RNA is filed under the name metagenome. RNAcentral describes it as "bacterial LSU rRNA". It matches the Rfam family "Bacterial large subunit ribosomal RNA", at positions 1367 to 2925 of the family's 2925-position model. The record is from RNAcentral.